ACCUAAACGGGAUGGAAGCGGCAUCCUCCGAUUUUUCGUCGGAGAUAUAGCAAACAGCCCGACCGAAG
This 68-nucleotide small RNA is filed under the name Pedobacter zeae. RNAcentral's name for it is "Flavo-1 RNA". It matches the Rfam family "Flavo-1 RNA". Lineage: Bacteria; Pseudomonadati; Bacteroidota; Sphingobacteriia; Sphingobacteriales; Sphingobacteriaceae. The record is from RNAcentral.